Molecule: long non-coding RNA, 2469 nt
Filed under: Salvia miltiorrhiza (redroot sage)
Lineage: Eukaryota; Viridiplantae; Streptophyta; Magnoliopsida; Lamiales; Lamiaceae
Description: long non-coding RNA (SMIL_LNC007626)
Source: RNAcentral
AAUCAAAACUGUGGCACCUCUAUCAAUAUUCGUUUGUACCUUCUAUUCCGCUUUCGUGAUGUCCGGCAUCGGGGGAGCAACCAUGACUGGUAUGAAGACGCUCAACACUCUGUUCAUAUUCCUGAGCCUUUUAAGUUUCACAUGGACACUGCACGUAGCAAGGAACAUGACGUUCGUCACUGUAUCACACAUAAAUUCAUGAGAUUUGCAAGUGGAACAGAGGUUGAUCUUAAAACAGUGGUAAGAGACUCGGCUCAGAACUCGAUGGGGAGCGUAUGCUUUGGCUCGAUUCUUGUACCGGUUCUUGGCACCAUCCGGGGUUUGGCUCGGGCCAUAAGCUUGGUCUCUGGAGACGUGGAUGAGUUCAUGUUCUCGUGUGCAAGUUGCUGCACGGGAGUAGCUAAAAGGCUUGUAGCGUAUGGAAAUAGAUGGGGUUUCGUGCAGGUAGGGAUGUAUAACAAAGGAAUCGUGCAGGCUUCGAAGGAUACAUGGGAGAUGUUUAGCAGGAUUGGAAUUCAAAAGUUGAUUGAUACUGACCUCACUAGCUCAUUCUGCUUCCUGUGUGGCGUUGCAGCUGGAUCAUUGUCUGCGCUGGUUGCAGGAACUUGGGCUCUUCUCGUCCACAAAAACUACGCAACAGAAGUGUCACUGUACGCAUUCUUGACUGGGUACUUAGUGGUAAGAACCCAAAUCCUAUAGGAAAAAAAUACCAUUGUGAUAAUAGCUGCAAAUUAAUUUUAACUUCUACAAAAUGCAGAAUAGAGUCGCCAUGGCAUGGAUACAAGCUAGCGUUGCAGCAUAUUAUGUUGCCUAUGCAGAAAACCCACAAAACCAGCAAUUUGACGGUACUAUUCCAGAUUAUAUUCAGGCGCUACAGCGACUACAGGGGUAGGAUGCAUGAGAGUUGUUAUCGUGGCCAGAAGUACAAUUAAUGUUCUAGGAGGUGUGCUUCCACAACAAGAAACCACACAGCAUUAGAACUGCAAAUAGAUGGUAUGCCUUCAAUUCUCCUUAAUUAUGAUCAUGUACAGACAAAAGUUACACACUAUCUUCAAUGAGUUUAUUGAUUUAUGAUUGCAAAAUGCAAAUGCCAACCAGUCCAGAAUUCAAUUUAAUGAAUGUGAUUCAAAUUCUUUGUUCCUUGAUUUUUACAAUCGAAAUUCUGAAUUCACCUCCAAUAAAAGAAUUUCAAAGAUCACCUACUAUUUUUAAGCAGAUAUUCCUUCCUAGUUUAAAGUCUCAUAAGAUUAGUUUAUUGCCCUGCAAAAGAUAAUUUGUUUUCUAAACAAACUUCUGCACAAUCAAAAUGCUAAAUUCUUUACUCCUUAAGCAUUUCAUCACUGAGAAAAAAAAAACCAUCAGCUCUAGUGCUUGUCCAGAAAAAACCGAGCAUUUUUGUUCCAUGUAACCAAUAUGUUCCAGGCAGCAAAAGCACGAAUCAGCCACAACAAGUUCUACAAUGUCCAAAUUAUACGCGAGACUGCCUAUUUACUCCCAAAACAAGUUAAAUGAAGGAAUAACAGUACUAGGAUUCUACUCAAUCAUCUUUCGGUGCAACAUCUGCCACUCUCUACGCUCUUCUUUCACGCAUUGAUGUUACAUGUUCAGCUGCUUGAUGCACGAAGCACAGGCUGUGGCAGCAUAAUACGUCACCAAACGAAAGAACACCACAGUAAGUAAUAUCUCGAGUUCCCACAUGAACUGAUCAUAUAUGAUAUAGCUAUGUUGAUCACAAAAACUAUCAAGAUCAAAGUUUGAGCAACGCAAUCAAGCAAUCUUAACUUCACCACAUGCACAUAAAUCUCCACACAGUUAUUCUUCGUAAAACACCUAACAAAAUUUCAACAAUGACAUGACCUCAGCUCAUACUAAUAUACGUUUGCUCCUCCUGUUCCCAAUUUCCUAAUCACUUCAAUUCCGCAUUCACUUGGACAAAUACAAAAACUUCUCUGCAAAUUACAAACACGUGAAAGAAAUAUCUACAUUUUUCUUCAACAGAUUAUGUUUUUAAACUACUCUCGAACACGUGCUUCUCGAUUUUAGAUAAAUUUGGGCAAUUUGCCCUAAAAUACUCUUCGUGUAGUUCACGGAAAACAGAGAUAUCGAUAGACGAAAAAAACAUAGACAGAUUAGAAGCAGUAGCCCGAUGCGAACACGAACAAUUUAGAAUUUGCGAUUUGAAUACCUGAAUCUCGAGGAGCUUCGAGCUGCCGCGUGUAUGAUAAUGCAAAAAGAGAGAAUCUUGCGCAAUGAGAAACUUGAUCAGGCGCCAUUUUCGGAGCUCGUUCCAUAUCUGAACGAUCAAAAUUAAAGCUUCAAAAUCAUAGUGAUGGUGUGAUUCGGAUUGAAUGUUUGCAGCUGCUUAAUACGGCAGAAAUUUCGAUUUCUAGCUAUGGUUUUGAGCUGAAAAUCAAUGUGUGUGCAGAACUUUAGAAAGCGGCGCUUUCUUAACAAGUGUUAAUGCUUCGA